Daphnia magna is the source of this 1697-nucleotide long non-coding RNA. RefSeq lists it as uncharacterized. NCBI's taxonomy places the organism in Eukaryota, Metazoa, Arthropoda, Branchiopoda, Diplostraca, Daphniidae. The transcript has 6 exons. The record is from RefSeq and is a predicted model, not a curated record.
AAACAUAGGCAGCCAUUAAUGAUAACCACCGGUAGACGCCCAUUUUUAUCAGUGACGUUCUAGAAUCAAGUGUGUCAUGUCGUUAUUUUUUCCCUAAAAGAAUCCAAGGACAGUAUUUUAAUUUUAUAGGCAUUUAUCUAUGAUGUUGUGAACAAUCUUGGAUCCAUGGCAGCUCGAUUUAUUUUUCUCCCAACUCAGGAGAGCAGCUAUUUUUAUUUUGCCCAAUUGUUAAACAGACACAUCCCAAUUGAGCAGCAGCCACGCCAAGUUCCAUUAUUGUUGCCUUUUGACAAUACAAUCAAGACAAUGUAAUCUGACUGGAUGGAUGUAGGAAGAAACCGGAUGCAUGUUUUGUUAUGGGUUUUAUGAACUUGAUGGAAAUGAAAGCUUACUAAAGGGUGCAGAAAUGACGUAAGGAAUAAGAGCAUUCUGCCAACGGUAAUUACGACCGAUGAUUUCAUUUCGAAGUUCUUUGAUCGACUGGAUCCCGGAAAUAUCGCCUUUAAACAUAUCGGUUGCGUAACGAGGUGCUACUUAAUUCGAACUGAAGAAUCAUCCACAGCUUGUGGUUUAUUAAUGACCAAUAUUAGAAUUUGUGAUCAAAGCCGUUGUGUGGAAUGAUACCUACCAUGCUUGAAGAUGAAUAUGACGAUAGACGGAUGCGGUUAACAUGAAACAUCUAUCAAUACAUACUACAUCUUCCUCGGCACUUGGGGUGAGUAUUUAAUGUUAACGCCAGAUGUUCGUCUUCCCGUGCGUGGUCAAAGGCCCGACGGGUGACCGAAGGCCCCAACAUCCCUCACAAAAUCCUUCCUUAAGUCCACCUUUUUACCCAAUCCCGUGAGUUUAACCAAGUACAAAGUAAAGUUAAGAGUAAAUUAAUAUUAUUAGAAAAAAGGGUAGUUACAUUACACACCAUUUAAAACAUUAUUACAUUAGAUUCUUCAAAAAAGGAAAAUGAACAAUGGCGGGGUAAUUUGGGAAGUGGAGUUCUAGCCAAUCUCUUGUUGAUUUUCUCCGUCGGAAUGAUUCUUGUGUAUCUCUUUUUAGGAGUGGACGCUGUUGAGCAGGUUUCUAUUGGUGAUGGCUUCGGGAUUGUCUGAGCCUUGAUUUCUUUAUUGAUUCUCUCCAAUAGGGUCUGUGGUCUUGGGGGUAUUGCUUUUGACGGCCCGGGUUGAGGUUCUGGUGGAUUUCUAACUGCUGGCUUUUGUGUUGCUUUUGCCCGUGCUUGCUCUCGGAUCCGGAUUUUUUCCUUUUCUCUCCGGAUUUGGGAGGCCUCCAGUAUUAACUUUGCUUUUAACUCAGCCUCUUGAGUUGCUUUUUGGACUGCGGCAAUUACUGCCGCGUGUGAGGCUCGAACCCUCUAUAGUGCGUCCAGCUGCGUUUUCUCCUUGUUGCUCAGCAACGGCGCGGUGUUCAUGGAUUCCGGCACCGGCCUCGAACAUGGACUACUACAUCUAGAGGACGAGACUCUUCGAGGUUUCCUAUGUCGGCCAUAUAUUUGUAAUUUCCUUACAGGAGAAAGGGAAGAAAGUCUGUUUCACCGGUGCUACCUAGCGGCCAAGUUCCAGAAGCUCUUACAACUAAACGUCUGCGACCGGCAAAAUUUGAAACAUUUUUUGAAAAUCUUUCGUCUCUGUUUUCAACCUAUUUACAUAAUUUUCUAACGUUGGGAAACAUACAUAUAAAAAACAGUU